AUAAGUAUCCAUUGAUAUGUGUGACAAAACAUACCAACUGGUGUCAACAUCAGCUAGGCUAUGUUGGCAUUUUCUGAUGGUUCUUCAUGACUGAUCAUAAGGUACAAAAUAAAUAAUACAGAAAUACAGUGCUGGGCAUUGGUAGACAAUCAUAUUAAUCUGUCUAUGUAUCUAUUUCUUCUGUGUAAGCAGUUUCUUAUGGAUCCCCAGUUGCUGCCUCCUUCUGAAGCACAGGUUAUUAGAGAGGCUGAAAACCAGACUGGAACAGGCUCUUCAAAGGCAGCCUCUGGACCUGGACUAUUUAGAGUUCCUCUGUACCAGUGAGUUGAGCCUAGUUCACUGAGUACUCACAUGCCAUUUCCAGAAGAGGUCAUAGGCAGACGGGAAAAGCAGGCCUUAAAAGAGGGCUACAGGAUACUGGGGUGCUCCCAAUGAUAACAGAACGGCCAGAACUGGCUAGAGUUCUGUUCCCACAAGAUGUCUCAUCUCUGAUGGAUCCUAAGAUGAUUUUGAAAAGAGUGGUUUGACCAGAUGAGGCGGAGGUUGACGAAGAUGAAAUGGAAGACUGCCGUGUCACAGCCUACCUCAGACAAUACGUUGCCGUGCCUACCUCAGACAAUA
This is a long non-coding RNA of Alosa alosa (allis shad), 621 nucleotides long. RefSeq lists it as uncharacterized. The transcript has 4 exons. NCBI's taxonomy places the organism in Eukaryota, Metazoa, Chordata, Actinopteri, Clupeiformes, Clupeidae. The record is from RefSeq and is a predicted model, not a curated record.